GCCACCCAGAGGGUGUGCCAGUGUAGCUCAGGAAGAAUGAGGAGUUUCCUGCAUGAUGCUAACUCCUUCGUCAUGUAUAGAACCCACAAACCCUUAUUCUCUGCCCCGCUCCGACUCCUCCCGAUUCUAAAGACCUCAGCAGCUGCUGGCACACUUGUAAGAAGCUGUCCGGCCUGGAGGCCGCUAUCAGCAUGCACCUCGGAGUCUCCUCCACUCUGCACAAUCGGGGACCCAGACUUUGGUCGCUGUCAUCCCACAAUAACGCAAACACAUGAGACAAAGGAAGAAAAGGGUGGAUUUCCCCAUGCCUCCUGCCUGCUCUUUUCGUUUAAUGCAUUACCAUCUCACCAAAUGGGCUUAUUAUUAUUAUUAAUUAUUAUUAUUAUUAUUAUCAUCAUUAUUAUUUAAAUACUGGUAUUGAACAAAAAUGCUGUGAACACGGAGUUGCCUUUUACCACCACCCUGAGUGUCCGGUGUGGCUUCAGAUGUUGUUCCAGGACAAGACGCUGGUGUGAGACAGGGCCUGGGCGCUGAGUUCUUUUUCACGAGGCCCAGGCUGCUUGCAAACAAUGACCUCAUCCGGAAAGGCUCAGGAAAGAGGCAUUUUCCCCCUGGCCAGCAGUGCCCGGCGCGGGGUUGGAUUCCCUGCCUGCCACCCACAGUCCAAAGUUUCUCCCUGUUGUUUCUGAACACUGGAGCUUCUGCAAACUGGGAAUGCUGCAAAGGCCCCGCUUCAAUGGGGAAAGACACUCAGGACAAAACAUUUCCAGCAUCAGAGGCAGGUGUUGGCUAAGAGGUAGACGGAAACGGGCAUCCUUGUUUUAAGCGCGAUCAUUGCAUUCCUGCAAUGAAGACGGCUGCUAUGACAAAACACCCCAGAGUGGGCGGCCUCAACAACAGAAACCUAUUUUCUCACAGCUCAGGAGGCUACAAGUCCAAGAUCAAGGUGCCAGCCAUUGGGUGUCUGAGACCUCUCCCCGUGGCUAGCAGACAGCCACCUUCUGGCUGCGUCCUCUCAGCAUCAUCCCUCUGUCGGUGCAGGUGCCUGGUAUCUCUCUCUUCCUCCAUGUCCAAUUACUCUCUUCUGACAAGGACAGUCAUAUUAGAUUAGGACCUACCCUAAUCACCCCAUUUUAACUCAAUUACUUCUUUUAAGGCCCUAUCUCCAAAUACACUCCUGUUUAAGGUCCGAGGUGGGUAGGGCUUCCACAUAUGAAUUUUGGGAGGACAUAAUUCAGUCCAUAACAGAUGCUGGUGGGUCUUUUUACCCACAACCACCAAGUCCUGGGGCUGUGCUGAGGUCUCCUCACCCAGUCUGGGUUCAGUAAGAACAGGAAUUCACAAUAAUCUGAAUCUCUCGGACCCGAGACUCGGGGCAUGCUGGAGCGGGAGGGAGAGCACAGAGUUCCGGGUCAGGCCUUCCCUUUUCUGGUCGGUGGGGUCAGAGAGAAACAAUUCUUGGCCUCACUGGACACCCACACAGCCUAGCUUCUGCCCCGCCCCCACUCAUCACGAGCUCAGUAAGGUCACUUUGAGGUGGAUUUUUAAACCAUUUAAGUGGCACUCACAGAACCCUCUGAGUCAGAUAGGCACAGCCACUAAAAAGUACGAACUGGAAAGAGAGCUGGAAUCUGGCGGCCCCCAGGCCUCUGGUGUCCGGGCCCAUGCUCCUAACUGCGAGGUGACGGGUCCUGGGAGCUGGCACUGGCCCCGGACAGCUGUCCUGUGCAGCAGGCCAGCCAGGAGGUGAGCCAGCCCGGCCGGCCCCCUCACCCGGGGCCGUGGCACCAGCAAAUGUCAGCGAGUGGGAGGGGGAACCGCACAGG
Pipistrellus kuhlii (Kuhl's pipistrelle) is the source of this 1826-nucleotide long non-coding RNA. RefSeq lists it as uncharacterized. The transcript has 2 exons. The record is from RefSeq and is a predicted model, not a curated record. NCBI's taxonomy places the organism in Eukaryota, Metazoa, Chordata, Mammalia, Chiroptera, Vespertilionidae.